This 253-nucleotide ribosomal RNA is filed under the name uncultured bacterium. Its description in RNAcentral is "partial 16S ribosomal RNA". It matches the Rfam family "Bacterial small subunit ribosomal RNA", at positions 524 to 776 of the family's 1533-position model. The record is from RNAcentral.
UACGAAGGGGGCUAGCGUUGCUCGGAAUCACUGGGCGUAAAGCGUGCGUAGGCGGUUCGUUAAGUUCGUUGUGAAAGCCCCGGGCUCAACCUGGGAACUGCAAUGGAAACUGGCGGGCUUGAGUGUGGCAGAGGGGGGUGGAAUUCCGCGUGUAGCAGUGAAAUGCGUAGAGAUGCGGAGGAACACCGAUGGCGAAGGCAGCCCCCUGGGCCAACACUGACGCUCAGGCACGAAAGCGUGGGGAGCAAACAGG